RNAcentral lists this transfer RNA (72 nucleotides) under Fukomys damarensis (Damara mole-rat). It matches the Rfam family "tRNA". Rfam says of the family: Transfer RNA (tRNA) molecules are approximately 80 nucleotides in length. Their secondary structure includes four short double-helical elements and three loops (D, anti-codon, and T loops). Lineage: Eukaryota; Metazoa; Chordata; Mammalia; Rodentia; Bathyergidae. The record is from Rfam by way of RNAcentral.
AGGGAUGUAGCUCAGCUGCACUGCACCUGCUUGGCAAGCAUGAGGUCCUGAGUUCGAUCCCCAGUACCCCUC